GAAACAUCUAAAUGAUUGCUGGCUUAAUCUCAAAGUUAUUGGCUUAGAUGGUAGGUCUACAGAUGCUAGAAUGAAGGCCUUAAACGAAAGGUACAACAUAUUCUCAUAAGGACUUGUUCUCUUCUUGUUAAUCAACCAUUAUUUUAGAUUAACUUGAAGCUUGUGAAUUUUUUUUUGAAGCUUCGAAGAGUCUUUUCAAUUUUUGGAUCAAAAGGAACAAUUUCCAAACUUCUCACUUUUAGCAUACAACAACCAAAAGCACUGGAAAACAAAUAAAAAGAAAGUUUGAAUUAAGAUUAAGAUUGCUUGGUAUUAAUAUUAACAAAAGAAAAUUUGGCACAAAUCCAUGGCAAUGGCACCAAAACCUUGUUGUCGGAUUCAUCACGCAAGUGCAUGUAUUAUUAACAAGUAAUAUUGUCACGACCCGGUACUCCCCUCGAGCUCGUGACAACCGUCGCGGUGUCCCGAUAGACACUCAUCACCUGAAAUGCCAACCAAAACCCCGCAAGGCUUUAAUAUCAGUUUCUCAUUCCCCCUGUGAGUAAUCAUUGCUAAAUAUCAUGUUCUAAAAGAUUUUAAGUUAUUUCCAAUUUAAAACAAUAAAAAAAUUAUUUCUGUUUCAUAGGGGCAUUUUGGUCAUUUUUCCUUGAACAUUUCGAAAUCUACUAAAAAUGUAGUAUGCAAGUACAAAACACAUAAUUCAUAAUAAAAAAUAAGUUUAAACAUCUAAAACCUUUAUUUAAAAUGAAAUUAUGAUUAUUUAAAUAUAAUAAAAAAAUAAAAGAAAUAUUCAAUAAAAUAUUCUAUUUUCUUAUUAAACACUAUUUUUAGAGUUAUACGUAAAAAAUUUUUACAGCGUAAAAAUAAAAUAAAUUCAUACAUACUGUAAUACAGUAAGCCAGAGUAUUUAAUUUAAUUUACAAUAAUCAGUGGGCCCACGAAUAACCAAAAGUAAGGGAGACUGUAAACUUACAGUUUGGAGGAUGUAAAUCCAAUAGUAGCCUCGAUGGAAUCAGCUAU
Molecule: long non-coding RNA, 1020 nt
Filed under: Theobroma cacao (cacao)
Lineage: Eukaryota; Viridiplantae; Streptophyta; Magnoliopsida; Malvales; Malvaceae
Description: long non-coding RNA (TCAC_LNC000370)
Source: RNAcentral